RNAcentral lists this non-coding RNA (29 nucleotides) under Mus musculus (house mouse). The record is from RNAcentral. Lineage: Eukaryota; Metazoa; Chordata; Mammalia; Rodentia; Muridae.
UGCAGCCUGGUGUGAACAGUGGCACCGUU